AACGAACGCUGGCGGCAUGCCUAACACAUGCAAGUCGAACGGGACCUUCGGGUCUAGUGGCGCACGGGUGCGUAACGCGGGGGAACCUGCACGUAGGUUCGGAAUAACUCACCGAAAGGGGUGCUAAUACCGGAUAAUGUCUUCGGACCAAAGAGUUAUCGCCUUUGGGUGGGCCCGCGUUGGAUUAGCUAGUUGGUAGGGUAAAAGCCUACCAAGGCGACGAUCCAGAGCUGGUCUGAGAGGAUGAUCAGCCACACUGGGACUGAGACACGGCCCAGACUCGUACGGGAAGGAGCAGUGGGGAAUAUUGGACAAGGGGCGAAGGUCUGAUCCAGCCAUGCCGCGUGAGUGAUGAAGGCCUUAGGGUUGUAAAGCUCUUUUACCCGGGAUGAUAAUGACAGUACCGGGAGAAUAAGCUCCGGCUAACUCCGUG
Molecule: ribosomal RNA, 433 nt
Filed under: uncultured bacterium
Lineage: Bacteria
Description: partial 16S ribosomal RNA
Rfam family: Bacterial small subunit ribosomal RNA
Source: RNAcentral